RNAcentral lists this long non-coding RNA (441 nucleotides) under Trifolium pratense (red clover). Its description in RNAcentral is "long non-coding RNA (TPRA_LNC003914)". Lineage: Eukaryota; Viridiplantae; Streptophyta; Magnoliopsida; Fabales; Fabaceae. The record is from RNAcentral.
AAUUAUUAGGUUUGUAUAGAACAUAUGAGCUUAUUAUUUUGAAUAUGUUUCUUGUUUUUACUAAAAAAAUGCAUUUUGGGAGAACAUCUUUUAAUUAAUGAUUUGAAUCUCAAUUUGAUAACCAUGUUUGCAACAACUAAAUUCCAUAACUUCUUAGAUAGUGGUCAGAAACUAACCUCCCCUGCAUAAUUCUAGAAGAAUUUGUAUGAAGGGACUGAAUAGUAAAUAUUUGUUAAAAACCACUAUAAUCUUACUGUACAUAUUUGUGUUUGAAAUAAGCUCCCUGUACACUCUGUUGCAAAAACAAAAAAUUGAUUUAAAGCAUACAUCAAACCAAAAAUGAAGAAUCAAAUCAAACUACAUAUUGCGUUGUCUCAACUGUUAUUAGAAUAGCUGAUACAAAAACUAUCAGUUAACAACAAAUACCUGUAUACAUUCAAN